GUGUGUUGUAAGGGCGCAUGGUGGAUGCCUUGGCAUGCUAAGCCGAUGAAGGACGUGGAAGGCUGCGUUAUGCCUCGGGGAGUUGUCAAUCGAGCGUUGAUCCGAGGAUGUCCGAAUGGGGAAACCCGGCUGUGGUUAUUCGCAGUCACCUGCUGGUGAAUAUAUAGCUAGUAUGGGGGUUACGCGGGGAAGUGAAACAUCUCAGUACCCGUAGGAGAAGGAAACAAUAUGUGAUUUCGUGAGUAGCGGCGAGCGAAAGCGAAUGGUGGCUAAACCGUAUGUGUGUGAUACUUGGUAGAGGUUGCAUGUGCGGGGUUGUUGGGAGCGAUUGUAUGACUACUACCAUGGUUGUGCUGAUGUGCGCGUGUUAGGUGAAGUGGUUUGGAAUGGCCCACCGGAGUGGGUGAGAGUCCUGUAGCUGAAGGCAUGUGUGUGUUGGUUGAUUGUUUCCCGAGUAGCGGCGGGCUCGUGGAAUCUGCCGUGAAUCUGCCGGGACCACCCGGUAAGCCUAAAUACUUAGUGUGACCGAUAGCGGAUAGUACCGUGAGGGAAUGGUGAAAAGUACCCCGGGAGGGGAGUGAAAUAGUUCCUGAAACCAUGUGCUUACAAUCCGUCAGAGCACCUUUUGUUGUGUGAUGGCGUGCCUUUUGAAGAAUGAGCCUGCGAGUCAGCGGCAUGUCGCGAGGUUAACCCGUGUGGGGUAGUCGUAGCGAAAGCGAAUCCUAAUUGGGUGUUGUUAGUGGCAUGUCCUGGACCCGAAGCGGGGUGAUCUACCCAUGGCCAGUGUGAAGCAGCUGUAAGAGGUUGUGGAGGCGCGAACCCACGUAGGUUGAAAACUGCGGGGAUGAGCUGUGGGUAGGGGUGAAAGGCCAAUCAAACUCCGUGAUAGCUGGUUCUCCCCGAAAUGCAUUUAGGUGCAGCGUCGUAGUUGAGCUUUGUGGAGGUAGAGCUACUGUUUGGUUGAGCGGGACUAUCAUCUUAGCAACAUCAGACAAACUCCGAAUGCCAUGUAAGUGUUCUACGGCAGUGAGACUGUGGGGGAUAAGCUUCAUAGUCGAGAGGGAAACAGCCCAGAUCGCCGGCUAAGGCCCCUAAGGGUGUACUAAGUGGAAAAGGAUGUGGGAUCGCGAUGACAGCCAGGAGGUUGGCUUAGAAGCAGCCAUCCUUGAAAGAGUGCGUAAUAGCUCACUGGUCGAGUGGUUCUGCGCCGAUAAUGUAGUGGGGCUCAAGUACACCGCCGAAGCCGCGGCAACCAUCUUUGAGGAUGGUUGGGUAGGGGAGCGUCGUGCAUGAGGUGAAGCAUGAGUGUGAACACGUGUGGAUUGUGUGCGAGUGAGAAUGCAGGCAUGAGUAACGAAUUGUAAGGUGAGAAUCCUUACCGCCGGAUGACUAAGGGUUCCUGGGUCAAGUUCGUCUUCCCAGGGUGAGUCGGGACCUAAGGCGAGGCCGACAGGCGUAGUCGAUGGAUAACCAGUUGAUAUUCUGGUACCCGAGUGUGUGCGUCAAUGGUAAAGCAGUGAUACUAACCAUGUUCGAGACUUAUUGAUUAUGCCCUUUUUGGGUGUGUUGAUAGGUUGAGUUUGUGGGGCCUGAUCUGUGGUCCAAGUGAUGGGGUGACGCAGUAGGGCAGCCACGCCGCUUAGUGGAUUGUUGGUGUAAGCGUUGAGGUUGGUGCCAUUGGUAAAUCCGGGUGCUGUAUCCAAGGCGUGAUGCAUAGCCCGUACAGGGUGAAUGUGGUGUGCUUGUGCUGUCGAGAAAAGCCUCUAGCGAGUGCAUAUUCGGCCCGUACCCUAAACCGACACAGGUAGUCAGGUUGAGAAUACUAAGGCGUUCGGGUGAACUGUGGUUAAGGAACUCGGCAAAAUGUCCCCGUAACUUCGGGAGAAGGGGAGCCUCACUGGUUGUAUAGGCUGGUGGGGCCGCAGAGAAUAGAGGGGUCCGACUGUUUAUCAAAAACACAGGUCCAUGCGAAAACGUGAAGUUGAUGUAUAUGGACUGACGCCUGCCCGGUGCUGGAAGGUUAAGAGGACCUGUUAGACCUUUUGUGGUCGAAGCGGAGAAUUUAAGCCCCAGUAAACGGCGGUGGUAACUAUAACCAUCCUAAGGUAGCGAAAUUCCUUGUCGGGUAAGUUCCGACCUGCACGAAUGGCGUAACGAGACCCCUGCUGUCUCAACCACAGGCCCGGUGAAAUUGCAGUACGAGUAAAGAUGCUCGUUACGCGCGGCAGGACGAAAAGACCCCGGGACCUUCACUAUAGCUUGGUAUUGGUGUUCGGUUUGGCUUGUGUAGGAUAGGUGGGAGACUGUGAAGUAUGCACGCUAGUGUGUGUGGAGUCGUUGUUGAAAUACCACUCUGGCUUGAUCGGAUACCUGAACCUUGGCCCAUGAUCUGGGUUGGGGACAGUGCCUGGUGGGUAGUUUAACUGGGGCGGUUGCCUCCUAAAGAGUAACGGAGGCGCCCAAAGGUUUCCUCAGCCUGGUUGGCAAUCAGGUUUUGAGUGUAAGUGCACAAGGAAGCUUGACUGUGAGAGUGACUGCUCGAGCAGGGACGAAAGUCGGGACUAGUGAUCCGGCACCUACUUGUGGAUGUGGUGUCGCUCAACGGAUAAAAGGUACCCCGGGGAUAACAGGCUGAUCUUCCCCAAGAGUCCAUAUCGACGGGAUGGUUUGGCACCUCGAUGUCGGCUCGUCGCAUCCUGGGGCUGGAGUAGGUCCCAAGGGUUGGGCUGUUCGCCCAUUAAAGCGGCACGCGAGCUGGGUUCAGAACGUCGUGAGACAGUUCGGUCUCUAUCCGCCGCGCGCGUAGAAACUUGAAAAAGGCUGUCCCUAGUACGAGAGGACCGGGAUGGAUACACCUCUAGUGUGCCAGUUGUCACGCCCGUGGCAUGGCUGGUUGGCUACGUGUAGAAGGGAUAACCGCUGAAAGCAUCUAAGCGGGAAGCCUGUUUUGAGAUGAGGUUUCGUUAUUUAGGCGCCCUAGAGAUUAUGGGGUUGAUAGGCUAGAUCUGGAAGCGUUGUAAGGCGUGGAGGUGACUGGUACUAAUUCGCCGAACUACUACAACA
Molecule: ribosomal RNA, 3063 nt
Filed under: Corynebacterium jeikeium
Lineage: Bacteria; Bacillati; Actinomycetota; Actinomycetes; Mycobacteriales; Corynebacteriaceae
Description: bacterial LSU rRNA
Rfam family: Bacterial large subunit ribosomal RNA
Source: RNAcentral